GCCUGGGUGGCUCAGUCAGUUAAGCGUCUGACUUCAGCUCAGGUCAUGAUCUCGCGGUUUGUGAGUUCGAGCCCCACAUCGGGCU
Molecule: transfer RNA, 85 nt
Filed under: Felis catus (domestic cat)
Lineage: Eukaryota; Metazoa; Chordata; Mammalia; Carnivora; Felidae
Also listed under: 1 other name
Rfam family: tRNA
About the family: Transfer RNA (tRNA) molecules are approximately 80 nucleotides in length. Their secondary structure includes four short double-helical elements and three loops (D, anti-codon, and T loops). Further hydrogen bonds mediate the characteristic L-shaped molecular structure. tRNAs have two regions of fundamental functional importance: the anti-codon, which is responsible for specific mRNA codon recognition, and the 3' end, to which the tRNAs corresponding amino acid is attached (by aminoacyl-tRNA synthetases). tRNAs cope with the degeneracy of the genetic code in two manners: having more than one tRNA (with a specific anti-codon) for a particular amino acid; and 'wobble' base-pairing, i.e. permitting non-standard base-pairing at the 3rd anti-codon position.
Source: Rfam by way of RNAcentral